This 603-nucleotide long non-coding RNA is filed under the name Jatropha curcas. RNAcentral describes it as "long non-coding RNA (JCUR_LNC001222)". The record is from RNAcentral. Lineage: Eukaryota; Viridiplantae; Streptophyta; Magnoliopsida; Malpighiales; Euphorbiaceae.
UUAAUUAUACUUAAUUAUUUUAAUUUUCACAAAUUGAAAAACCUAAUUACAUAUAUUGCAUAUGUAUAGGCCUAUUCCAUAUAUAUGCAAAUUCAAGAGUAUAGAUAAAAUAUUACCAUAUUGUUAAAACUAUAUAAAAUUACAUAAAAGGGAAAUCCAUCCUACUUAAACAACAAAAAUAAAUUAGCAUUACAAAUGCUUAAUUAUCUAUUAUUAAUUAAGCACACCCCAGAUUAUGGUUACGACUAUAAGAAGAAAAAGUUUUUUGACCUUGUAAGAAACAAAUGGAGUGAUGAUUUGACAAGAUUGAUGAAGAACAAUUCUGAACAUUCAUAUCCAUGCAUUCUUCUUCACUUUCUUCUUCAUAAAUUGUUUCCAAAGUUAUUUGAAUACCAACCCUAUAACCAGAGAUUGAUCUGGUUAGCCGAGCUGGUGCAACUGCAGCAAAUGGAGUCCUUACCGAGGUAUUAGGGUUAGGGUUAGGGUUGGACAUGAGAGAACUUGACAGUGAGUUUAUUGGUAGAGAUGGUUGAAUUAUUCUUGCCAUGUUUAAUUUCUUGAUGAAGAUUUCUAUGUUCUUGCUUUAGUUAGCAAUCAAGUUUU